This 253-nucleotide ribosomal RNA is filed under the name uncultured bacterium. RNAcentral describes it as "partial 16S ribosomal RNA". It matches the Rfam family "Bacterial small subunit ribosomal RNA", at positions 524 to 776 of the family's 1533-position model. The record is from RNAcentral.
UCCGGAGGGCGCACUCGUUGUUCGGAAUCACUGGGCGUAAAGCGCGUGUAGGCGGCUUGGUAAGUCGGGUGUGAAAGCCCGGGGCCUAACCCCGGAACUGCACUCGAAACUGCCUCGCGCGAGUCCCGGAGAGGAUGGUGGAAUUCCCGGUGUAGUGGUGAAAUACGUAGAUAUCGGGAGGAACACCAGCGGCGAAGGCGGCCAUCUGGACGGUGACUGACGCUGAGACGCGAAAGCGUGGGGAGCAAACAGG